Paramuricea clavata is the source of this 78-nucleotide non-coding RNA. Lineage: Eukaryota; Metazoa; Cnidaria; Anthozoa; Malacalcyonacea; Plexauridae. The record is from the annotation of a GenBank genome assembly.
CCGUGUAUAGCUCAGUUGGUAGAGCGUCGAUCUAGUAAUUCGAAGGUCGCGGCCGGGUUCCUUCCCUGCUUGCGCUGG